CUCUCUCUGUUUUUUUUUGUUUCUGUUUUCUAUUUAUUCUGUUUUGUUUUGAUUUAGUAAAGUACUAAACCAUUUUAUAAAAUGCUGAAAAUAUUUAUGGGCACCUCUGAAAUUAAUUCCAACAGCCCAAAAAUACUUCCAAGAUUAUUUGGACAUUUAAAAAUAUUUAUAGCAUUUAAAUGUCCAAAUGCAAAUACUUUAAAAGUUAACUCAAAGAUCCAAAGUGUCCUAGAAAAGUGAGCACCAUUUUUGGCAGAGGUUAUGGACCAAGGCAAAGAUGAUGAACAUUUUAGAAGGCAUUUCAGGAUCAUUGAAAGAUUUUUAUUUUGAUCCUAAUUGCAUUUCAUUUAGUGCUAGGGCUUGUCAUCCCCAUUUCAAAUUUAAUUGAAAAAUAAACAUGAUGCAUGGAUGCUUGUGCAACUAUUUGCAAACAAAUUCUAGGGCUGUGACAACUCACCCCCACUAAACAAGAAUCUCGGCCCGAGAUUCAAGACAUGGGGUAAGAAGGAAGGGGGGUUCACAAGACUAUCGCAGUCUUCUCGAUCCAACUGCCCUUCCCGAGGAUGUUGAUUCAUUGCAUCAUGUCGAUCUUGACAUCUUUGCUUCGAGAGCUUCAUCCAACACGGCGACAAGAGAGCAAGACAACCUCACAGGGGAGGAUACAAGAUUAACUCCACGGAAUGAGACGUAAAAACACCUCUUGAGUUGAGACACAAGGCACAUAUCAGAAUCAAUGAGAAGAAGCAGAUGACAAGGUUCAAUUUGGUACGCAACAAACCCACGUUGGAGUAGGAUGAUGCAUGGUUUCAAAGUAGCGAGGAGAUAAUUGCCAUGAUACCAUAACGAGACAUCUUAAGGAAGGUGACUCGCAGAAUUAUUCCCUUAAGUGGCAAAAGGAAUUACUUUUGAUUCGGAGAUCAUAGAAACUCUUUACACCAGCCUAAGGCAAUCACAAAUGAUCAGUGGAAGGAGUUCGAAAGAAUGACAUACUCGGAGUAGGAUGGAUGAUGUGGACUACCUUGUUGAAGACAACGCAAUGGAUGAUUUUUGCUUAUCAUCGAAAAUGGAUGGGACCUAUGGUAAGUCCACUUUUGAAGAUGACCAUGAACAGCAGCUAUUAAGGUGUAAGCUGGGAACAAAAUGCAAAUGUUGGGAAUGAUUCUGGUAACUGGGGAAAAGGUUCACCGGCAAAGGUGAUUCCACCAAUCGGAUGGCUAUCGAACAACUGAGAGGACGGAGGCACAUUCCAGUUAAUGACAUCGUCAGAACCUAGUGCCUGAGCGUGCUCUCAAGAACUUGAGCAUUUCCAUACUCAUCAAGGUCUUACCAACAUCCAUGUCAAGGAUCCUGGCAACACAACAUACCACCAUGAUGAAUGGUGAUGGAUAAUGCAGAUGCAAAGGAAGAUAACACUUUCUCAGAUUUCACCUUAGCGAAGCCAAGGAAACAAAAAUCUGGAUGAUCGACCGAGAGACAUUUAGCACUCUGCUCCUAAUGUUCUCCUUGAUGUACUGGUUACCACGGCCAUGCUUUAAGCAUCGGCAUAGCCACCAAGUAGUGGUCGGACUUCGGAAUACAAUGGAUCCAUAAGGAACAACUUCUGGAGUAAAUCCUACGAAAUCCUCAUGGAAAGGUGGCCAACUUUCUUCAAUCGAGAUACUACAAUAAUAGGUCUUCCGGCUGGAUGUGUUGGCCACGACAUCCACUUUACCGUUUAUCAAGGGACCAAUAUUAUGGUUCUUGGAAAAUGCUCCAACCAUCAUAUCUGCCUGAGAUUCAGAUCUGGUUGGUGACAGGAUAUUCCAGACUCAUCGAGUCUAGAAAGGAAAAUGAAGGUUUGCAACACAAUCGACGAGAUGACAAUGCGAGAUCCUCAGGGGAAUGAACUACGGUAGUAAGCUCCAAAACAUGAGCCGGUUCUGCUACAAACAUGUGAACACGUUGUCCUAGACAAGCAUGGUCAGCUGGUAGUCUUAAAAUGAAACACUACCGAGUUCAGGGGGAACCAUCAACGAGGAUAUCGAAGUCCUUGCGUAGGUCUAACCCUUAAGAAGAAACUUCUUCUCCUUGAACAAUCAAUCAGUGGCUUGGUGUGCUAGGGAUACGUAUAGAAUGUAGAUGAUCAGUCUAUCAGACCAUAGAAUACUUCGCACAUGCAUGACUGACUUGGGAUGAUUCCAGAGGAAGCAAAAACAAACUUUCUCGAAUUCACGGCGGCAACUUACAUCAGAUGCACAUGAAUUAGAGGAAGUCACAUCUUUCAACCGGACAUAUGCUUCAUGAUCGGGACAUGAGGGCAAUGCUUAUAAAGUUUCCAACACUAGCUGGAUGUUCAACACAAUCAUGGAGGAGACAAAAUGCCGCUGAUGGGCUCAACAGCAACUCAUCGAAAUUUCUAUAUCACUGGACUUCCACCACUAUGUGAACAAUGUGAUAGUAUUGGUCAGACCAAGGAUAUAAUGGUGUAUGCUCGAGGGACAACCGCAAGUAAGACAACAUUACGAACAUCGUUGGUUCUGAUUUGAUUUGACGAUAACCCACACUCAAAUCAAGGUUUGGACAAGAUAAUAGAUACAACAACUGAUCACGGGGACCAAUUGGUGAAGAUAUCAUCUUUCUUCAACACACACACACACACACAAGGAUAUCCCUUAGGGAUGAGCUAAGUCGGACAAGUUUUCAUCUUCCAACUCUCCAAGUUGUUGUUAAGCUUAACCAACUAGCUCAGGGGUAUCCAACACAGGUUCUUGGGGAAAAAUGGUUUAUUGGAAAACCAACUUGAUCACGAAAUCAACAUAACGGUCAGGCGACAACCUGGUAACACUUCCGAGAAGAUAUUCGGAAAAUCACGAACCACCGGUAUGUUACUAAGCUCGAGAACAACCUUGCUUUUCAGGGCAAGAUGAUAUGAUCGAUAGAGCAAGGGAUUGGCACAAUCCUAACCCAUUGAUCGAAGUGUGCACCAGAAAUAUGGACUGGGUAGCACGAUCAGUCUUAGAAUGAUAAUUCAAUAACCAACACGCUAAGAAUGAGGAUAUUGUCCAUUAACUACCAAGCAACAGAGUUGCUAGGAGUAUUGAUUUCACACACCACGAUUCACUUGUCGUCAUUCCGGUUGCAACAACACUGAAACCGAGAAAUGAACAAUGAUGGAGAGAGUAUCACUGCGUCAAGAAUUCAUGAGAGAGGUGCAGUUCUCACGACGCUCUUGACAUAAAGUGGGCAAUACUUCAGGGUAGAACAGAACAAAAGCUGGAUUGGCAUUUUGAUCUGCGGAAUACAACCACUUCGACCCGAUGCGAGAAAUGGAUGAGGUACUGGAGUUUGUUUCUCCUAGCCAUUCUAGAAUAGAACGGCUCGACGGACCACAAGAAUAAAAGGCACCGAUGAACACAAAUGCACAACUAUUCCUGACUAUCAAUUGAUAGACGAAGGUCAGAAAACAACUAAAGAGGGACAACUCAAGGAACAUAUAAUUUUCUGAGCUGUGGAGGCAUAGAUUAGUAUGUCGAGCAAAGCUCAACAUAUUUCUUCCAGAUAACCCAUGCAGAAAGGUAGAACUGGCAGAGCCACAAUAUAGAAUGGAGAACUCAUCAAGAGCACUCUGGUUGUGAUCCUUUUGGUUCAAAAGAACUCCUGCCAAGAAUGGUUCAUGAUAAUUGGAAGAAGGAUGUACCACGAACCUCGAGGACUAUCACAAAGGUUACUAAUAUCCUAAAGGAACGAGCAAACACUAUCAACAUGAAGUAAGUAGGGUGAAUCUCGGGUUCAAAACCCAGGAAUAAAAUGCCUACUAACUAAUAACAUCACGGGAUGCUUUUGAGAAUAGUGGCCAGAGUCACACACUGGGAAUACGAAACAUGGCUAGAUUACUAGGUGGCACUCUAAGGCAUCUAGGGUCAUAAUAAUAGUUCCAACAUAAAUGCCGAGGCAACGGAGUACCUCAACUCACCGAUUAGUGUGAUUAAUCUGGCCUAAAUGGACAUCAGGAACAGGGGAAAGGGUUUGCAAAUGCAUCAGACUAUUUAGAAACCUGGGAUGACUCGGACAGCAUAACGGCUAUAAAUGCUCAAAAUGAUUUGAGACAUCCUACAAAAUGGUGGCAUAACCACUCAGAAGCACAAUAUCAAGGUUCGAGACCAACUAUGAACACACAGAAGUAGUAGAAACUGAACUGGGCUUAAAUCCAACAAUCUUAGGCAACUACGGUUUAGUAACACGUCAUCCUGAUAGAUAGAUGAGAAGGCCUAAUUCUUAAUCCCCGUAGAAAAGAAGAGGUUGACUCGGAUCAGAUGGGCAUGAGGUAUAAGGAGUAAAAAGAGCCUUAAGUUCCCUUCCACAAUCAAUUCCCUUACAUAACUAAAGCAUUUCUAGACUCAACUUCGACCAGUUUGGCUUGGUAAACCUACAGGCAGUCAGGCUCUGAUACCAACGCUGUCGGGACCCCGAUCCUAGGUCACACCGAUCUAGCAUGUAACACAUCAUAUUACUUUGUGGCCUCAUGCACGGUAUUUCCACGGGUGCCACCUUACCUGGCCCGGGACCGUUUGCGCCUUUUGGCUCACGUAUAUGAUAGUGUCGCUAGCAUCCAUAUGACAAAGAACCCGGGCCGACAUGGCUAGUCGUGAACCCAAAGCGGCACUACCCCAUGGGGACAGGCAUACAUGAAUCAACCUCGAGCAUGUCGGUCAACAGCGUGUGAAUCCGGGCUGUAGCACUUGGCUAACAGGACUCCGGUAACCCGGGCUGUAGCAGGCUAGGCAGGACUCCGGAUGUCACCGCGUGACAUUUCCCCAAAGGGACAGACAUAGGAACGAAGUGAAUCACAUGCCGGCCAGUCAAGUGUCCUGAACAGUAGUGCUGGGUUAGCAGGACUCCGGUGAUCCGGGCUGUAGCGGACUACUAUCGCUCAGAAGCACUAGACUACAUUUCCCCAUAUGAUAGGUUGCCAAGGAUAAACAACUAGAUAGUCGGAUCCCACAGAUACCAAGCAUUUCAAUCAUACACACAAUACGCUCGAUAUGUGUGAAUACAACAUGGCAUCACAACAUAACUCUACAACUCAAGUAUUAAUUCAUUAGGCUCCGAGGAGCGAGAUAUUACAAGCAUGGGUCUCAUGACCCAACAAUCAUAGCAUACAAUUCAAACACAUGCGGAAGCUUAACAUGUCUGAGUACAGACAUCUAUAAAUGGAAAAGGCUAAGAAGCCUGACUAUCUACCAGAUCCUGUCGAGGGCACAAGAUCGUAGCUGAGGUAUCAAGCUAAACGUCGAAGUCCACGCGGAACUACUAGCGAGACUGAAGUCUCUCUGCAAAACAUAAAUUAAGCAAACAUGAGUACAAAGGUACUCAGCAAGUCUUACAUCAGAACUAACUACAUAUGCAUCGGUAUCAACAAGGGGGGGUGGUGGAGUUUAACUGCAGCAAGCCAGCUUUGACUCAGUGGCUAACCUAAACUACGAUUGCGAGCAACUCUUUUGAGGUGGCGCACACGAGUCCACAUAUUCACCAAUCAAUACACCACUAUGGAUCCGCUCUCGUCUCCCUACGAGAAGGCCAUCCAUAGCACUCACACUUAUCUUGCGAGUUUUAGAGUAUCCACUUUCACUUGUCUAUGAACUGUUAUAGGCAACCCAGAAGUCCUUUACCGUGGACACGGCUAUUCGAAUAGAUCAUUUAUAACCCUGCAGGGGUGUACUUCGUCACACAUGUUUCCACCACUUAGCGUCUGCACACGACAUGUGCUCGGCAGACUUCAAGCGAAAGCCGACGUGGGUGUAGACCACGACCUGACUAACCACACAAGUCUCUAGUCCAGGUUUAUCGCCUAUUCGGGUUCCAUCCGCGAGGAGAUCCGGCCGGAGUUUCGCUCACAGCCCCAAACGAUGUGUGAAGGGUUCCCGAGACACCAAACGGGCGCCCGGUACACCGUGCCACAGUGUAUCUACCGCAUCAUAGCCCACCCCUAGGGUCAGCGCUACGCACGGCCGCCAACACAUAUCCUAUAAACACCAGAAACUAAUUGCAACUCCUGGACAGAGGACGAGAGGGGUCAGUAAGUCGAGCGGGGUCAUAUUUCAGGGCCCAACGUGUGGUAGUAGCUGUUUCAUGGAUCACAAACACAGAACUCAGUUCCUGAGGACGGUUUCAAUGAGACAACCCACCAUGUACUCCUACAUGGCCUCUCACCGCUACCUUUACCAAAUCGUGUUCACACACUUAGCUCUCAACACUAGGACAUGUUUACACACCUCCGAUUCAUCCCCGAUGAAUCGGACCUGACUCAACUCUAAGCAGUAGCAGGCAUGACAAACAAGCAUGAAUGAGUAGGCACAUCAGGGCUCAAACAACUCCUACUCAUGCUAGUGGGUUUCAUCUAUUUACUGUGGAAAUGACAGGUCAUGCAGAGGAUAAGGGGUUCAACUACCGCAACAAGUAACAGAUGAAUCGUUGGUGUCCUAAUGCAGUAAAAGAGAGCAGGAGCGAGAGAGGGGGAUUGUAUCGGAAUGAACAAGGGGGUUUUGCUUGCCUGGCACUUCUGAAGAUAUCAUUGGGUCUUCAUCAGUGUCAACGAUCACAUCGUCGGUACAACGUCUAUCGAGAGGGGACAAAUACCGGCAACAGGAGAAAGAAACACAAUCAAUGCAAUGCACAAUAUGAUGCAUGAUCAUGACAUGUCAAUAUGCUGUGGUUUGAGCUAAUGCAACUAGCUAUGAUUUAAAUGAAGUUGGUUUGAGUGCAAGAUUCAAAUUCCAACCCCAUAUGUGAUUAUUUAAAUGCCCUUUAUUUGUUUUGUCCAAAACAGAGGACAAACAUUGUUCAAACAUGCAUGAAAAUGGUACAGAUGGAUUCCUUGAAUUUUUCUGAUAAUCUUACAUAUAUAAUUUAUCUCAUUUGGAGUUACGGUUGAAUUUCUAUGAUUUUUAGAAGUUUUGGGUAUUUUCUGAAAUAAAUAAAUCAUUUCUGAUUUAUUUAAAAUCCCAGAAAAGGAUUACUGCAUCAGCUUGACGUCAGGGUGACGUCAGCUGGUCAACUGGGCGGCCCAGGUCAAACCUGACGUGCGGGACCCAUAUGUCAUUGACUCAGCUAUUUAAUAUGGUAAAUUAACCUUAGAUUAAGCCUAACUAAAAUGUCAGUGGGGUCGGGGCCCACAUGUCAGCGGCUAACCUAACUAAAUUAGUGUUAGCUUAACUCCUAAUCUAGGUUUGACCAGGGGGCGGGGCCCACGUGGUCAAAUGGGUCAACCCCACCGGCGACGUGAGCUGGAGCUCGCCCGCAUCCAUCCCUGCAAGCAGCAGCUGCUAGGGCGGCCGGAGCUCGUCGGAAACGAGCUCGAGGCGGCGCCGGAGUUCGGACACGAGCGGGGACGCGGUUGCGGUGGCCUUGGUGAUGUGUGCAUAGCACCUACGGCGUCUACGGGGUGAGGUGAGUGCGAUGGGCGCAUGCCCGGGACCAAAUGGUCACCGGAGCAUCACCGGUGACGAGCGCGGCGGCGGCAGGUUUCGGUCAACAAGGGGGCGACGGCUACGGCGUGUGAGAGCGAGAACGGAGAGGGGGAGAAGGGGCAGGAGCUCACGGCGAACACGUAGGGAUGGUCAGCGGCCUCGCGGACGCGUCGGAGACGGCGAAUCGACGGCGGUGAGCUUCGGCACCCGAGGAGGAAGACGGCGAUGGUGACGGUGCUUCGAGGCGUCCGGCGGGGCGCGGCUCGGUGGAGAGGACGAGGAGGAUGCGGCGGUGCUUUAGGAGGCGUCGGGGAGGCGAGGCGGUGGCUGUGGCCGCGGCGAACGGCGUCGGUGGCGACGGGCGCGUUCGGACGAACGUGAGCGAGAGAGACAGAGGAGGGAGGCGCUCGAGGGAGAGAGGAGAGGAGUGCAGGGGGGUCCAGGGUGUCGUGGCGCUCGGGGGAGUCUCCAGCCGCGGCGAGCAAGCAGGAGGUGGCCGGACGCGUGCUCGCGCGCGCCGGCCACGCGCUCGUCCUCCUGGCGAGGGGGAAGACGACAGGGAGGAAAGCCAGUGGGCUGGGCUGGCCAUCUGGGCCAGCCGGUGGGCCUUGGUGGGCUGCACAGGUAGGUUAGGUAGGUUUUCUCUCUCUGUUUUUUUUUGUUUCUGUUUUCUAUUUAUUCUGUUUUGUUUUGAUUUAGUAAAGUACUAAACCAUUUUAUAAAAUGCUGAAAAUAUUUAUGGGCACCUCUGAAAUUAAUUCCAACAGCCCAAAAAUACUUCCAAGAUUAUUUGGACAUUUAAAAAUAUUUAUAGCAUUUAAAUGUCCAAAUGCAAAUACUUUAAGAGUUAACUCAAAGAUCCAAAGUGUCCUAGAAAAGUGAGCACCAUUUUUGGCAGAGGUUAUGGACCAAGGCAAAGAUGAUGAACAUUUUAGAAGGCAUUUCAGGAUCAUUGAAAGAUUUUUAUUUUGAUCCUAAUUGCAUUUCAUUUAGUGCUAGGGCUUGUCAUCCCCAUUUCAAAUUUAAUUGAAAAAUAAACAUGAUGCAUGGAUGCUUGUGCAACUAUUUGCAAACAAAUUCUAGGGCUGUGACAU
This 8539-nucleotide long non-coding RNA is filed under the name Triticum aestivum (bread wheat). RNAcentral describes it as "long non-coding RNA (TAES_LNC009662)". The record is from RNAcentral. Lineage: Eukaryota; Viridiplantae; Streptophyta; Magnoliopsida; Poales; Poaceae.